RNAcentral lists this ribosomal RNA (647 nucleotides) under uncultured bacterium. Its description in RNAcentral is "bacterial SSU rRNA". It matches the Rfam family "Bacterial small subunit ribosomal RNA", at positions 110 to 753 of the family's 1533-position model. The record is from RNAcentral.
GUAAUGCGUAGGAAGCUGCCCGAUAGAGGGGGAUACCAGUUGGAAACGACUGUUAAUACCGCAUAAUGUCUACGGACCAAAGUGUGGGACCUUCGGGCCACAUGCUAUCGGAUGCGCCUACGUGGGAUUAGCUAGUUGGUGAGGUAAUGGCUCACCAAGGCGACGAUCUCUAGCUGGUUUGAGAGGAUGAUCAGCCACACUGGAACUGAGACACGGUCCAGACUCCUACGGGAGGCAGCAGUGGGGAAUAUUGGACAAUGGGCGCAAGCCUGAUCCAGCCAUGCCGCGUGUGUGAAGAAGGCCUUCGGGUUGUAAAGCACUUUCAGCGAGGAGGAAGGGAUGUAUGUUAAUAGCAUGCAUUUUUGACGUUACUCGCAGAAGAAGCACCGGCUAACUCUGUGCCAGCAGCCGCGGUAAUACAGAGGGUGCAAGCGUUAAUCGGAAUUACUGGGCGUAAAGCGCACGUAGGCGGUUGGUUAAGUUGGAUGUGAAAGCCCCGGGCUCAACCUGGGAAUUGCAUUCAAAACUGGCCAACUAGAAUACGGGAGAGGGGGGUAGAAUUCCAAGUGUAGCGGUGAAAUGCGUAGAGAUUUGGAGGAAUACCAGUGGCGAAGGCGGCCCCCUGGCCCGAUAUUGACGCUGAGGUG